RNAcentral lists this ribosomal RNA (756 nucleotides) under Methanosaetaceae archaeon enrichment culture. RNAcentral describes it as "bacterial SSU rRNA". It matches the Rfam family "Archaeal small subunit ribosomal RNA", at positions 102 to 859 of the family's 1478-position model. The record is from RNAcentral. Lineage: Archaea; Methanobacteriati; Methanobacteriota; Methanomicrobia; Methanotrichales; Methanotrichaceae.
GGACAACCUGCCCUUAGGUUGGGUAUAAACCCGGGAAACUGGGUAUAAUACCCGAUAGGUCUCGAUUGCUGGAAUGCAUCGAGAUUUAAAGCUCCGGCGCCUAAAGAUGGGUCUGCGGCCUAUCAGGUAGUAGUGGGUGUAGCGUACCUACUAGCCUACGACGGGUACGGGUUGUGAGAGCAAGAGCCCGGAGAUGGAUUCUGAGACACGAAUCCAGGCCCUACGGGGUGCAGCAGGCGCGAAAACUUUACAAUGCUGGCAACAGCGAUAAGGGAACCUCGAGUGCCAGGUUACAAAUCUGGCUGUCGAGAUGCCUAAAAAGCAUUUCAUAGCAAGGGCCGGGCAAGACCGGUGCCAGCCGCCGCGGUAACACCGGCGGCUCGAGUGGUAACCGUUAUUGUUGGGUCUAAAGGGUCUGUAGCCGGCCGGAUAAGUCUCUUGAGAAAUCUGGCAGCUUAACUGUCAGGCUUUCAGGAGAUACUGUCUGGCUCGAGGCCGGGAGAGGUGAGAGGUACUUCAGGGGUAGGGGUGAAAUCUUGUAAUCCUUGAAGGACCACCAGUGGCGAAGGCGUCUCACCAGAACGGACCUGACGGCAAGGGACGAAAGCUAGGGGCACGAACCGGAUUAGAUACCCGGGUAGUCCUAGCCGUAAACGAUACUCGCUAGGUGUCGGCCACGGUGCGACCGUUGUCGGUGCCGUAGGGAAGCCGUGAAGCGAGCCACCUGGGAAGUACGGCCGCAAGGCUGAAACUUAA